AUCCUAGUCCAGGGGCGUUACCCAUCUCCGUGAAGCGAUGAGCUGAGAGUGGUUUUUGCUGAUUGAAAGCUAUAUGCUGACCGCUCCUACUUGGGUUCGCCUAGGUAGGGAAUUUUUGGAACACUUUUCCUUUUGGAA
Molecule: small nuclear RNA, 138 nt
Filed under: Fusarium poae
Lineage: Eukaryota; Fungi; Ascomycota; Sordariomycetes; Hypocreales; Nectriaceae
Description: U4 spliceosomal RNA
Rfam family: U4 spliceosomal RNA
About the family: U4 small nuclear RNA (U4 snRNA) is a component of the major U2-dependent spliceosome. The structure of U4 snRNA from yeast and human has been reported.
Source: Rfam by way of RNAcentral